GACGAACGCUGGCGGCGUGCUUAACACAUGCAAGUCGAACGGAAAGGCCCUGCUUUUGUGGGGUGCUCGAGUGGCGAACGGGUGAGUAACACGUGAGUAACCUGCCCUUGACUUUGGGAUAACUUCAGGAAACUGGGGCUAAUACCGGAUAGGAGCUCCUGCUGCAUGGUGGGGGUUGGAAAGUUUCGGCGGUUGGGGAUGGACUCGCGGCUUAUCAGCUUGUUGGUGGGGUAGUGGCUUACCAAGGCUUUGACGGGUAGCCGGCCUGAGAGGGUGACCGGCCACAUUGGGACUGAGAUACGGCCCAGACUCCUACGGGAGGCAGCAGUGGGGAAUAUUGCACAAUGGGCGCAAGCCUGAUGCAGCCAUGCCGCGUGUAUGAAGAAGGCCUUCGGGUUGUAAAGUACUUUCAGCGGGGAGGAAGGGAGUAAAGUUAAUACCUUUGCUCAUUGACGUUACCCGCAGAAGAAGCACCGGCUAACUCCGUG
Molecule: ribosomal RNA, 488 nt
Filed under: uncultured bacterium
Lineage: Bacteria
Description: partial 16S ribosomal RNA
Rfam family: Bacterial small subunit ribosomal RNA
Source: RNAcentral